AGAAAAGCCACUUUAUUCCGGCUUCAUAGCCCAGCCGGCCAUUUCCAGCGGAUCCCGGUGCAGGGAGGUGCCCAGUCGCAGUCCCUGGCGCUCAGCUCUCUUCUUCUUCCUCUUCCUCCUCCUCCUCUUCAUCCUCCUCAUCCUCAUCUGAGCUGAAGGUGCCAUCAGGCAAGCUGUAGAUUCGGAUCACCUGUUUGUUGGGGUCUUUGAGGAUGAGGUACUUCCCCUCAUCCAGCUUCAUGCAGAUGUCGAUGACGCAGCGCAAGAUGCCCCAGGCAUUCUCUAUGCUCAGGUUGAUCUGGCUGGCAAACUCGUUGGGCUUAAACUGCUGCGUGCCCAGAAUCACAUGGCGGGCAGAGUCCUUCACAUGGUAACGGGACACGUAACCAAGCUUGAGAUAUUCUGAUCCGGCCAGCAGUGCACAACAUGUCCAACGAGCUAAUUUGUAGCUGUUGUUUUUCAGCUCUGUGGCGAUCACAGCUCCUCUCUGCGAGUCAAGCUUCUGGCGCCAGUCUACUCCAUUGCAAUACCUGGAAUCCCAUUCGUUCAGAGUUUUGAUGUUGAUGAAUGACACUUCGCCGUUAGCUCCUGUCAUCACUCCGUCAUGCUCACAGCGGACGAUGAGAUCUAUGUCAUCUCCCAGCUUCCACCUUCGGUACCUGUAGGCAACAGAAGCUACUUCGUUCUUAUCCAUGUCAUCCUCCACAAAGGGGUUUGGGUUGGGAAACUUGUAUUUCUCCUUCCCCAUCCUCAGACACUGCUGGGAGAAGUUAUGGUUGAUGUAAGUUGCUUCCAUGGCAAGGUUGCGUGGGGAAUUAAAGGAGUUGCCCUCUUCCUGUGGUGGUUCAUUAGCUGUUUCACUCACUGUCAGUAGAUCAAAAUCUGAAUUGUCCCUCUUGUCAAAGAAGAGCUUGGAUCCAACUCUCUGGACAAUGAUGUCCCAGGAAUACACAGAGCGAGUGCAACUCAUCAGUGUGGCCAGGAUGGCAUCUGUGGCAAACACAUUCCCUUGAGUCUUGGCCAGCUUUCGGAUAACUGGGUCAUCAGUAGUAGUGACCGUAUGGAAGAUGCGCUUAAUGCUCCUCAGCAGCUUCUCAUUCCUCGUUGUAAUGCGGUCAAAGGCUUUGUCAUAGUAUUCUAGGGCUCCACAGCACUCUAUGUCCUGUGGCUCUGACACCUCCAGGUAGCGCAUCUUCAUCAGUCGUGGGAAAUCCAUCUCUUCUUUCACCUCCCAGUCACUGCGAACUUCCACAGAGGAGUCACGAGGCUUCUGCUGUGACUUCUGGUCCCACUUCUGCCUCACUCCAAACUGCUUCUGAAACUUCUUCUGGAGACGCAAACGAUCCCUCUCUUUCUGCUUGGCACUCUUUGGCAGUGUCUGCAUGCUGAACUGCAGCAUGUUCCGGCGGUCCUUGUCCCUCCGAAGGUUCCUCUGUGCAAAUCGCAUGCGAUUCCUCUGGUAUGCAGUUUUCUGUGUCCGUGCUGUAUCCACCAACUGGAAGCUGGUCUCAUCCUCCUCAUGGAAAUACGCAUAUUGACUUCCACCACCAAACUGUGAUGAGUACUUGUUUGUAUAUCUCUUAUCCUGGUACGUGGCUCCUGUCCAAUCCGCCACCUUGCCCAGGCGGUCUCCCUUGCUGAAGGGCUGGUAGGGCAUAUCCUUGAACUGCUCGGGCACGGCGCACGGGCCCCAGCCCGAGGGAUUGUCCUGGAUCACGGGGGUCACGAACUUCGCCAUGGCUCACGGCUCUGCGCGGCCACGUUACGGCCCCGAUGACGACGGAUACGGCAGCGACGGCGGCGGUGGCCGGCGAGGAAAGGCCGCGCGCAGCCCCGUCCCGGCCUUAUGACGUCAACACUGCGCGACGGUGCGCCGCCGAGCGCCACUGUCGUAAAAGAGAAGGCGCGAGGAGUGGGACACGACUGCCGUAAAGCGCGGAUCUCCCAGCAGGCGCAGUGCGCCUCGCUGACGUCACCGCCGCCAUCGAACUGCAGGGGGCGUGGAUAGCAGUGGUGAUCUGUGUUGUCCCCAAAGCGCUUCCUUGCCCUGGUGGCAGGGGAUGUGGGCUGUGGGUUCGACCCUACAGCCCUAUGAGGAGGCCGUGAGCAGGGCACUAAAUGCAGUGUGUGCCUCACAUAGGGUCAUUAAGGUUGGGACAGACCUCUGAGGUGACCUGGUCCAGCCACCAGCCCGCCCCCACCGUGCCCACUGACCACGUCCUCAGUGCCACAUCCACACGGCUCUGGAACACCUCCAGGGAUGGUGACUCCACCACCUCCCCUGUGCAGCCUCUGCCACUGCAGCACCGCUCUUACUGAGAAUAAGUGUUUCCUAAUAUCCAUCCUGAAAGUCCCCUGGUGCUACUUGAGGCCACUCCCUCUCACCCUAUCACUGUUACCUGGGAGCAGAGGCCGACCCUCACCUCACCACAGCCUCCUUUCAGGUCAUUGUAGAGAGUGAUGAGGUCUCCCCUGAGCUCCUCAGACUGAACAACCCCAGUUCCCUGGGAGAGUAUUUCUCCCCACAUUGCAAGGGGAAAAAGGUAAAAACCCAGCAGCAAAUCUCAGACGUUCACAUAUCACAGAGCCCAGAAUUGUCCCCUCCCUUCAGAAGAGCAACAUCCAGUUUAGAGAAGCCUGCAGCUCGCAGCUGUUUGCAGAAUUUCCCUGGGUAUCUCUCACCUCAGAGCCCAGAUCAAUAUUUUCCAGGCAGAGCAGUGUGCAUUUCCUCCUUUAUUUACUGCGUUUAAAUCCUCCUCGAGAAAUUACCAAGACAGUCUGCUUUGCCAGGAGGCCGCGCCAUUAAUCAGAAGCUGGAUUAUUAAAGCAGUUUUCCCUGCUAGCAAAAAGAAAAAUCCACUUACAGAAACGCG
RNAcentral lists this long non-coding RNA (2873 nucleotides) under Gallus gallus (chicken). The record is from RNAcentral. Lineage: Eukaryota; Metazoa; Chordata; Aves; Galliformes; Phasianidae.